RNAcentral lists this ribosomal RNA (495 nucleotides) under uncultured bacterium. RNAcentral describes it as "partial 16S ribosomal RNA". It matches the Rfam family "Bacterial small subunit ribosomal RNA", at positions 28 to 507 of the family's 1533-position model. The record is from RNAcentral.
GACGAACGCUGGCGGCGUGCCUAAUACAUGCAGGUAGAACGCUGAAGGAGGAGCUUGCUUCUCUGGAUGAGUUGCGAACGGGUGAGUAACGCGUAGGUAACCUGCCUGGUAGCGGGGGAUAACUAUUGGAAACGAUAGCUAAUACCGCAUAAUAGUAGAUGUUGCAUGACAUUUGCUUAAAAGGUGCAAUUGCAUCACUACCAGAUGGACCUGCGUUGUAUUAGCUAGUUGGUGGGGUAACGGCUCACCAAGGCGACGAUACAUAGCCGACCUGAGAGGGUGAUCGGCCACACUGGGACUGAGACACGGCCCAGACUCCUACGGGAGGCAGCAGUAGGGAAUCUUCGGCAAUGGACGGAAGUCUGACCGAGCAACGCCGCGUGAGUGAAGAAGGUUUUCGGAUCGUAAAGCUCUGUUGUAAGAGAAGAACGAGUGUGAGAGUGGAAAGUUCACACUGUGACGGUAGCUUACCAGAAAGGGACGGCUAACUACGUG